This 253-nucleotide ribosomal RNA is filed under the name uncultured prokaryote. RNAcentral describes it as "partial 16S ribosomal RNA". It matches the Rfam family "Bacterial small subunit ribosomal RNA", at positions 525 to 777 of the family's 1533-position model. The record is from RNAcentral.
ACGGAGGGUGCAAGCGUUAUCCGGAUUCACUGGGUUUAAAGGGUGUGUAGGCGGGCUAUUAAGUCAGUGGUGAAAUCUCAGGGCUCAACCCUGAAACUGCCAUUGAUACUAUUAGUCUUGAAUUCUGUUGAGGUGGGCGGAAUAUGUCAUGUAGCGGUGAAAUGCUUAGAGAUGACAUAGAACACCCAUUGCGAAGGCAGCUCACUACCCGAAUAUUGACUCUGAGGCACGAAAGCGUGGGGAUCAAACAGGA